ACGACAAUGUCGCCGUCCGGCGCAGUGUGGGCUUUGGCAGUACGAAAGGCCAGCCACAGAUCGCCCUUGAAACGUGUCAGCGCCGUAAAGGCGUUGUGGUUCCCGUCGCCGAAAACUUUGCGCACCGUGCGCGGUGGCACGGGCGCGUCGCCCGGCUCCGCUGCGCUGGCAGUCAACGCCGCACCGACCAU
Molecule: unclassified non-coding RNA, 191 nt
Filed under: uncultured fungus
Lineage: Eukaryota; Fungi
Description: sequence contains ITS1
Source: RNAcentral